Non-coding RNA from Picea glauca (white spruce), 123 nucleotides. The record is from Rfam. Lineage: Eukaryota; Viridiplantae; Streptophyta; Pinopsida; Pinales; Pinaceae.
AUGUACAUGCCUACAACAUAGCGUUAAUGCACCAGAUCCCAUUAGAACUCCGUAGUUAAGUUCACUCAGGCUAGAGUGGUACUGAGAUGGGUGACCACCCGAGAAGUCCUAGUAUUUUAUAUU